This 487-nucleotide ribosomal RNA is filed under the name Nocardia cyriacigeorgica. Its description in RNAcentral is "bacterial SSU rRNA". It matches the Rfam family "Bacterial small subunit ribosomal RNA", at positions 15 to 519 of the family's 1533-position model. Lineage: Bacteria; Bacillati; Actinomycetota; Actinomycetes; Mycobacteriales; Nocardiaceae. The record is from RNAcentral.
GAUCCUGGCUCAGGACGAACGCUGGCGGCGUGCUUAACACAUGCAAGUCGAGCGGUAAGGCCCUUCGGGGUACACGAGCGGCGAACGGGUGAGUAACACGUGGGUGAUCUGCCUCGCACUCUGGGAUAAGCCUGGGAAACUGGGUCUAAUACCGGAUAUGACCUUACAUCGCAUGGUGUUUGGUGGAAAGAUUUAUCGGUGCGAGAUGGGCCCGCGGCCUAUCAGCUUGUUGGUGGGGUAAUGGCCUACCAAGGCGACGACGGGUAGCCGGCCUGAGAGGGCGACCGGCCACACUGGGACUGAGACACGGCCCAGACUCCUACGGGAGGCAGCAGUGGGGAAUAUUGCACAAUGGGCGAAAGCCUGAUGCAGCGACGCCGCGUGAGGGAUGACGGCCUUCGGGUUGUAAACCUCUUUCGACAGGGACGAAGCGCAAGUGACGGUACCUGUAGAAGAAGCACCGGCCAACUACGUGCCAGCAGCCGCG